GCGGGUGUAGUUUAGUGGUAAAACUCCAGCCUUCCAAGCUGAUGUCGAGGGUUCGAUUCCCUCUACCCGCUCCA
RNAcentral lists this transfer RNA (74 nucleotides) under Pseudogracilibacillus auburnensis. RNAcentral's name for it is "tRNA-Gly". It matches the Rfam family "tRNA". From Rfam's summary of the family: Transfer RNA (tRNA) molecules are approximately 80 nucleotides in length. Their secondary structure includes four short double-helical elements and three loops (D, anti-codon, and T loops). Further hydrogen bonds mediate the characteristic L-shaped molecular structure. tRNAs have two regions of fundamental functional importance: the anti-codon, which is responsible for specific mRNA codon recognition, and the 3' end, to which the tRNAs corresponding amino acid is attached (by aminoacyl-tRNA synthetases). tRNAs cope with the degeneracy of the genetic code in two manners: having more than one tRNA (with a specific anti-codon) for a particular amino acid; and 'wobble' base-pairing, i.e. permitting non-standard base-pairing at the 3rd anti-codon position. The record is from RNAcentral. Lineage: Bacteria; Bacillati; Bacillota; Bacilli; Caryophanales; Bacillaceae.